Molecule: ribosomal RNA, 372 nt
Filed under: uncultured organism
Description: partial 16S ribosomal RNA
Rfam family: Bacterial small subunit ribosomal RNA
Source: RNAcentral
GUACUGUGCGAACGUUAUUCGGAAUCACUGGGCUUAAAGGGUGCGUAGGCGGUUGAUUAAGUAGGGUGUGAAAGCUCUCGGCCUAACCGAGGAAUUGCGCUCUAAACUGAUCAACUUGAGUGAGAUAGGGGUGUGCGGAACUUCCAGUGGAGCGGUGAAAUGUGUUGAUAUUGGAAGGAACGCCGGUGGCGAAAGCGGCACACUGGGUCUCAACUGACGCUGAGGCACGAAAGCCAGGGUAGCGAACGGGGGAUUAGAUACCCCGGUAGUCCUGGCUGUAAACGAUGAGCACUAGACGGGAGGAGCUUCGGUUCAUCCCGGUCGCAGCGAAAGCAAUAAGUGCUCCGCCUGGGGAGUAUGGUCGCAAGGCUG